This 303-nucleotide ribosomal RNA is filed under the name uncultured bacterium. RNAcentral's name for it is "partial 16S ribosomal RNA". It matches the Rfam family "Bacterial small subunit ribosomal RNA", at positions 507 to 807 of the family's 1533-position model. The record is from RNAcentral.
AGCAGUAGCCACGGGAAUACGAAGGGGGCUAGCGUUGUUCGGAUUUACUGGGCGUAAAGGGCGCGUAGGCGGACUGAUAAGUCAGGGGUGAAAUCCCAAGGCUCAACCUUGGAACUGCCUUUGAUACUGUUUGUCUUGAGUUCGAGAGAGGUAAGUGGAACUGCGAGUGUAGAGGUGAAAUUCGUAGAUAUUCGCAAGAACACCAGUGGCGAAGGCGGCUUACUGGCUCGAAACUGACGCUGAGGCGCGAAAGCGUGGGGAGCAAACAGGAUUAGAUACCCCCGUAGUCCCUGUCUCUUAUAC